Molecule: long non-coding RNA, 410 nt
Organism: Alosa sapidissima (American shad)
Lineage: Eukaryota; Metazoa; Chordata; Actinopteri; Clupeiformes; Clupeidae
Exons: 3
Source: RefSeq, a predicted model, not a curated record
CUUUUCUGUCAUGCAUCUGACAGCAAGCUGUACAAACUCUGCAGUCAUCAUAUCCAAGGCAGUGAGUUGUGAGGACUGCUUCCCUGAGAACACUGAGUGCAUUCUGGAAUAUUCCAAAUGUGUGCCACUUCCAUACAAAAGAAGUUCCAAUCCCGCAAGAGAGUUCACUCACCAGUGGGCUUCAUCAACAGACCAGGGCAAAGUCGGUCUGUCCCGCUACUACAACAUGCUACUUGACUAUGUCUGGAAGCCAUGGCUGCUGUCCUCAACAUGCUGUAAGUGUUUGUGUGUUUUCAGUGAGGGCUAUGUCACUGUGCACACUCUAAUUUGUUUGACAAAUGUGCAAUGUAAUGCAUUAAUACAGAAACGAAUCAUCAUUAUUGUAGCUUUUUAUAAUAGGGCUUAUUCGC